GCAAACUUGGUCAUUUAGAGGAAGUAAAAGUCGUAACAAGGUUUCCGUAGGUGAACCUGCGGAAGGAUCAUUAUCAAUCUUUAGCGGAUCUUGGCUUAUCCAUGGUCUCGCGAAUCAUAUAUUUAAAACCCAACUCAUAAAUAAAUAAUACUUUGUAUCAUUAUGAUAUAAAUAAGAUCACUUUCAACAACGGAUCUCUUGGCUCUCGCAUCGAUGAAGAACGCAGC
RNAcentral lists this unclassified non-coding RNA (227 nucleotides) under uncultured fungus. RNAcentral describes it as "partial contains small subunit ribosomal RNA, internal transcribed spacer 1, and 5.8S ribosomal RNA". The stretch from base 1 to 73 matches the Rfam family "Eukaryotic small subunit ribosomal RNA", at positions 1759 to 1831 of the family's 1831-position model. The record is from RNAcentral. Lineage: Eukaryota; Fungi.